This 68-nucleotide transfer RNA is filed under the name Anastrangalia sequensi. RNAcentral describes it as "tRNA-Val". Lineage: Eukaryota; Metazoa; Arthropoda; Insecta; Coleoptera; Cerambycidae. The record is from RNAcentral.
AAGUUAGAGCUUUUUAUAAGCAUUUUAUUUACAUUAAAAAGUUAAUUGUUAAAUCAAUUUAAUUUGAA